This 1720-nucleotide long non-coding RNA is filed under the name Homo sapiens (human). Its description in RNAcentral is "HSALNT0068250". Lineage: Eukaryota; Metazoa; Chordata; Mammalia; Primates; Hominidae. The record is from RNAcentral.
GGGACACACACACACACCACACAUGCACAUGCAAACCACACACACAAAUCACACACACACAUAAGCCACACACACAAAUCACACACUCAGACGCACCACACACGCACAUGUAAACCACACACACAAUCACACACCACACACACGUAAACCACACACACAAACCACACACAUCAGAUACACCACACAGGCACAUGUAAACCACACACAAUCACACACAUGCACCAUACAUGCACAUGUAAACCACAUACAAAUCACACACACUACACACACACUUAAACCGCACACACAAACCACACACAUCAGACACACCACACAUGCACAUGUAAACCACACACACAAUCACGCACACCACACACGCACAUGUAAGCCACACACACAAAUCACACACAUCAGACACACCACACAUGCACAUGGAGACCACACACACAAAUCACACACACCACAUACACACAUAAACCACACACACACAAAUCACACACAUUGUACACACACACGUAAAUCACGGCACACACCAUACACGCACAUGUAAACCACACACACACAAAUCCUAUACACGCACACACACCACACACGUCAACUAUACACACAAAAAUCACACAUUCCUUCACUACACACGCAUAUAUAAACUACACACAGAAAUCACACAGGCAGACACACUACACAUGCAUAUGUAAAUUACACACACAUAAACUACACACACAACCUAUACACACAAAUCAUACACACACUAUACAUGCACAUAUAAACUACACACUAUACACACACAAAUCACCCACAUGCACACACACGGCACAUACUACACCUACACCUGUGAACUACACACAAACUACACACACAAACUACACACAGAUAUAGACCACACACACAAAACACACACACAUAAACCACACACACAAACUACACACACAUAAACCACACACACAAACUAUACAUACACAUAUAAACCACACACACAAACUACACACACGUAAACUUCACACACAAACUACACAUACAUAUAAAUGAUACACAAACUAUUCACACACAAACUACACACACAAACCACACACACAUAUAAACUACACACACAAACUGUUCACACAUAUAAAAACACAAAGUACACACAAACUAUACACACAAACCACACACACAUAUAAACCACACACACAAAGUACACACACAAACCAUACACAUACAUAUAAACCACACACACAAAUACACACACAUAAACUAUACACAAACUACACACACACAUAUAAACCACAUACACAAACUAUACACAAACACAUAAACUACACACACAAACUACAUACACAUAUAAACCACACACGCAAAGUACACACAUGUAAACUGCACACACAAAGUAUACACACAAAGUGCACACACAUAAGCUACACACAAACCACACACACAUACAAACCACAUACACAAACUAUACACAAACACAUAAACUACACACACAAACUACAUGCACAUAUAAACCACACACUCAAAGUACACAUUCAUAAACUACACACACAAACUAUACACACAUAUAAACCACACACACAAAGUACACACAUGUAAACUGCACACACAAACUAUACACACACAUAUAAAUCACACAAAGUAUACACCUGUAAACUGCACACACAAACUAUACACACACAAAUAAACCACACACACAAAGUACACACACAUAAAGUACACACGAACCACACACACAUAUAAACCACACAAACUACACACACAUAAACUACAC